This 1346-nucleotide ribosomal RNA is filed under the name uncultured bacterium. RNAcentral's name for it is "bacterial SSU rRNA". It matches the Rfam family "Bacterial small subunit ribosomal RNA", at positions 28 to 1381 of the family's 1533-position model. The record is from RNAcentral.
GACGACCUCUGGCGGCGUGCUUAACACAUGCAAGUCGAACGGAAAGGCCCUGCUUUUGUGGGGUGCUCGAGUGGCGAACGGGUGAGUAACACGUGAGUAACCUGCCCUUGACUUUGGGAUAACUUCAGGAAACUGGGGCUAAUACCGGAUAGGAGCUCCUGCUGCAUGGUGGGGGUUGGAAAGUUUCGGCGGUUGGGGAUGGACUCGCGGCUUAUCAGCUUGUUGGUGGGGUAGUGGCUUACCAAGGCUUUGACGGGUAGCCGGCCUGAGAGGGUGACCGGCCACAUUGGGACUGAGAUACGGCCCAGACUCCUACGGGAGGCAGCAGUGGGGAAUAUUGCACAAUGGGCGGAAGCCUGAUGCAGCAACGCCGCGUGCGGGAUGACGGCCUUCGGGUUGUAAACCGCUUUCGCCUGUGACGAAGCGUGAGUGACGGUAAUGGGUAAAGAAGCACCGGCUAACUACGUGCCAGCAGCCGCGGUGAUGCGUAGGGUGCGAGCGUUGUCCGGAUUUAUUGGGCGUAAAGGGCUCGUAGGUGGUUGAUCGCGUCGGAAGUGUAAUCUUGGGGCUUAACCCUGAGCGUGCUUUCGAUACGGGUUGACUUGAGGAAGGUAGGGGAGAAUGGAAUUCCUGGUGGAGCGGUGGAAUGCGCAGAUAUCAGGAGGAACACCAGUGGCGAAGGCGGUUCUCUGGGCCUUUCCUGACGCUGAGGAGCGAAAGCGUGGGGAGCGAACAGGCUUAGAUACCCCGGUAGUCCACGCUGUAAACGGUGGGUACUAGGUGUGGGGUCCAUUCCACGGGUUCCGUGCCGUAGCUAACGCUUUAAGUACCCCGCCUGGGGAGUACGGCCGCAAGGCUAAAACUCAAAGGAAUUGACGGGGCCCCGCACAAGCGGCGGAGCAUGCGGAUUAAUUCGAUGCAACGCGUAGAACCUUACCUGGGUUUGACAUGGAUCGGGAGUGCUCAGAGAUGGGUGUGCCUCUUUUGGGGUCGGUUCACAGGUGGUGCAUGCCUGUCGUCAGCUCGUGUCGUGAGAUGUUGGGUUAAGUCCCGCAACGAGCGCAACCCUUGUUCACUGUUGCCAGCACGUUAUGGUGGGGACUCAGUGGAGACCGCCGGGGUCAACUCGGAGGAAGGUGGGGAUGACGUCAAGUCCUCAUGCCCCUUAUGUCCAGGGCUUCACGCAUGCUACAAUGGCUGGUACAGAGAGUGGCGAGCCUGUGAGGGUGAGCGAAUCUCGGAAAGCCGGUCUCAGUUCGGAUUGGGGUCUGCAACUCGACCUCAUGAAGUCGGAGUCGCUAGUAAUCGCAGAAGAGCAACGCUGCGGUGAAUACGUUCCCGGGGCU